This 443-nucleotide ribosomal RNA is filed under the name uncultured bacterium. Its description in RNAcentral is "partial 16S ribosomal RNA". It matches the Rfam family "Bacterial small subunit ribosomal RNA", at positions 338 to 795 of the family's 1533-position model. The record is from RNAcentral.
CCUACGGGGGACAGCAGUGGGGAAUAUUGGGCAAUGGGCGCAAGCCUGACCCAGCAACGCCGCGUGAAGGAAGAAGGCCCUCCGGUUGUAAACCUCCUUUAUUCGGGACGAAACAUAUGACGGUACUGCAUUAUUAUGUCACGGCUAACAACGUGCCAGCAGCCGCGGCAAUACGUAGGAGGCAAGCGUUAUUCGGAUUUACUGGGUGUAAGGGGUGUGUAGGCGGGAGGGCAAGUCAGACGGGAAAUUCCAGGGCUCAACCCUGGAAGUGCGUUUGAAACUGGUAGUCUGGAGUAAUGGGGAGGCAGGCGGAAUUCCGGGUGUAGCGGUGAAAUGCGUAGAUAUACGGAGGAACACCGGUGGCGAAGGCAGCCUACUAGACAGUAACUGACGCUGAGGCGCGAAAGCGUGGGGAGCAAACAGGAUUAGAUACCCUAGUAGUC